GGGGUCUAUGGAGGGCUAUGGGGGGAUAUGGGGGGAUAUGGGGGAAUAUGGGGGGAUAUGGGGGGCAUUGAGGUCAUAUGGGGGAGAUGGGGGCAGUUGGGGGGGCUAUGGGGGGAUAUUGAGGUCUAUGGGGGGAAAUGGGGGGCAUAUGGGGGGGCUAUUUGGGGUAUUGGGGUCUUACUGGGGGGUCUAUGGGGGGAUGUGGGGUCAUAUGGGGCAGCUAUGGGGCAGCCAUGGUGCAGCUAUGGGGCAUCUAUAGGACAUCUACGGGGCAGCCAUGGGAUCUCUAUGGGACAUCUGUGGGGUAUCUAUAGGACAUCUAUGGGACAUCAAUGGGGUAUCCAUAGGACAUCCAUGGGGCAGCCAUGGGGCAGUUACGGGGCAGCUAUGGGGCAGUUACGGGGCAGUUAUGGGGCAGCUGUGGGGCGGCUGUGGGUCGCACCUGGCAGCCCCAGCUCCAGGAAGGGGCAGCUGACCAACACCAACUUGCUGAAGUUGAACUUGUAGGUGAAGCGCUUCCCCUUCGUCUUGUGCAGGAUGCGCUUGUUGUAG
This is a long non-coding RNA of Gallus gallus (chicken), 552 nucleotides long. Lineage: Eukaryota; Metazoa; Chordata; Aves; Galliformes; Phasianidae. The record is from Ensembl.